AUUGAACGCUGGCGGAAUGCUUUACACAUGCAAGUCGAACGGCAGCACGGGGGCAGCCCUGGUGGCGAGUGGCGGACGGGUGAGUAAUACAUCGGAACGUGCCCGGUCGUGGGGGAUAACGUAGCGAAAGUUACGCUAAUACCGCAUACGAUCUGAGGAUGAAAGCGGGGGACCUUCGGGCCUCGCGCGAUCGGAGCGGCCGAUGUCAGAUUAGGUAGUUGGUGGGGUAAAGGCCUACCAAGCCGACGAUCUGUAGCUGGUCUGAGAGGACGACCAGCCACACUGGGACUGAGACACGGCCCAGACUCCUACGGGAGGCAGCAGUGGGGAAUUUUGGACAAUGGGCGCAAGCCUGAUCCAGCCAUUCCGCGUGCAGGACGAAGGCCUUCGGGUUGUAAACUGCUUUUGUACGGAACGAAAAGGCUCUGGCUAAUACCUGGGGCUCAUGACGGUACCGUAAGAAUAAGCACCGGCUAACUACGUG
This 484-nucleotide ribosomal RNA is filed under the name uncultured bacterium. RNAcentral describes it as "partial 16S ribosomal RNA". It matches the Rfam family "Bacterial small subunit ribosomal RNA", at positions 30 to 507 of the family's 1533-position model. The record is from RNAcentral.